UCCAGAAGGCUCAGAAUCAUAUCCUCACAUGUUCCUUUUUUUGCUUCAACUUCUCUGAGUGACUGACUACCUUCUGCUUCUCAGGCAAAAAGGAGUACACCUGGCAUUCAUGCUGUGCUUCACAGCUAGUAACACCACUUCCAGCUGUGCUUGGUAUGAAUUUGGAAGUCUGACUGAAACAGAGAAAUGCCCUCAACUUGAGUCAAGAUAUCUGCAAGAUUGGAUGACAAUGGCCCAGGUAAGUGUAAUGUUCAUACUUUGAGGUCUUUGUAUAGAAAGAACCAUGUGCUUUCUUCUUCUCCCAGCUCAUUGAGGUGUAGUGUUCUUUUACAGGAAUAAUUUUGA
RNAcentral lists this long non-coding RNA (345 nucleotides) under Pogona vitticeps (central bearded dragon). RNAcentral describes it as "lncRNA (ENSPVIG00000005159.1)". The record is from RNAcentral. Lineage: Eukaryota; Metazoa; Chordata; Lepidosauria; Squamata; Agamidae.